Molecule: long non-coding RNA, 652 nt
Organism: Quercus lobata
Lineage: Eukaryota; Viridiplantae; Streptophyta; Magnoliopsida; Fagales; Fagaceae
Exons: 2
Source: RefSeq, a predicted model, not a curated record
UUCCUUCCUCCUUCUAUUUUUUUUCUUUUGAGAAACUUCCUUCCUCCUUCUUCUUUCUAAGAAAUAUAUAUAAAUUUUCAAAGCAACAAAAAAUAGCCAACCAUUAUUAUUAUUAUUAUUAUUGUUAUUAUUAUUGGUCUCCUCCAAUUUAAGCUCUGGUUCCUCGUGAACCCUUUCUCUUUGGUUCUUCCUGUUCGGUUUGUGAUUAUAUUGCUGAAAAUGCACAUAUAUGAGUAUGAAUGAAUCUGUUUGGGAUUCAAUACUAAAGAUCGCAGGAGAGACAUGGGUUGUGUAAUCUGCGGCAUGACUUGGUCUUCUGAUGCUUCUGUUAGAGCAUCUAGGUGUUUUUCAUACUGAAGGGAAUCUUCGUUUGGGAUUCAAAUACCAAAGAUCGCAGGAGAGACAUGGGUUGUGUAAUCUGCGUCAUGACUUGGUCUUCUGAUGCUUCUGUUAGAGCAUCUAGGUGUUUUUCAUACUGAAGGUAAUCUUCGUGUGGGUAGGAUCAUCACAACAAUAAUAUAAAGUUGGCAAGCUCACUAACAAUAUUGAAACUUCUAAUGUCUUUUUCAUAUUGACUUGAUAGACUUCUUGAAUCGAGAUGUUCAACUCUGUUUCUUAACAUCUUCCUAUCAAUAAAAUCAGCCUUCUCUCA